This 71-nucleotide transfer RNA is filed under the name bacterium. RNAcentral describes it as "tRNA-Gly". It matches the Rfam family "tRNA". From Rfam's summary of the family: Transfer RNA (tRNA) molecules are approximately 80 nucleotides in length. The record is from RNAcentral. RNAcentral also lists the same sequence under 1 other name.
GCGGACGUAGUUCAGUGGUAGAACGGCAGCCUUCCAAGCUGCUCAUGUGGGUUCGAUUCCCAUCGUCCGCU